GACGAACGCUGGCGGCGUGCUUAACACAUGCAAGUCGAACGGAAAGGCCCUGCUUUUGUGGGGUGCUCGAGUGGCGAACGGGUGAGUAACACGUGAGUAACCUGCCCUUGACUUUGGGAUAACUUCAGGAAACUGGGGCUAAUACCGGAUAGGAGCUCCUGCUGCAUGGUGGGGGUUGGAAAGUUUCGGCGGUUGGGGAUGGACUCGCGGCUUAUCAGCUGGUUGGUGGGGUAGUGGCUGACCAAGGCUUUGACGGGUAGCCGGCCUGAGAGGGUGACCGGCCACAUUGGGACUGAGAUACGGCCCAGACUCGUACGGGAGGCAGCAGUGGGGAAUAUUGCACAAUGGGCGGAAGCCUGAGGCAGAAACGCCGCGUGCGGGAUGACCGCCUUCGGGUUGUAAACCGCUUUCGCCUGUGACGAAGCGUGAGUGACGGUAAUGGGUAAAGAAGCACCGGCUAACUACGUG
RNAcentral lists this ribosomal RNA (468 nucleotides) under uncultured bacterium. Its description in RNAcentral is "partial 16S ribosomal RNA". It matches the Rfam family "Bacterial small subunit ribosomal RNA", at positions 28 to 507 of the family's 1533-position model. The record is from RNAcentral.